Molecule: unclassified non-coding RNA, 389 nt
Filed under: fungal sp.
Lineage: Eukaryota; Fungi
Description: partial internal transcribed spacer region
Rfam family: Eukaryotic small subunit ribosomal RNA (bases 1-46)
Source: RNAcentral
AAGUCGUAACAAGGUUUCCGUAGGUGAACCUGCGGAAGGAUCAUUAACACGUAUCCAACGUAAAAAACCCCCCUGUGAACAUUCAAACCUGCUCUCGUAGCCCAGUGCGAUCCAGCAAUCCCGGUAAAUCAUUGUCGAACAGUAUUGAUUCGGGACUUAGUUACGAUUGAGCGGAGAUAGCUGCAUGGCAUCCCGAAGCAGUCAGUGUCUGAAAGUGUCAUUGAUUGUCUAAGGAUCUCGCCUCAACGAUUGCCAGAGGUCGCUCACCGACCGGCAGACAUGCAACCGGGUCCCCACGCCCCUUUACAACCCCAUUACCUCUGUGAGUCGCGGGAAACUAGCGGCUAAAAAACCUCGAACAACUGUUAACAAUGGAUAUCUUGGUUCUC